GCAAAUAUCUGUGGUUCGUGUGUGUUUCGCUUUCUUGAUUUUUCAGUGGUGAACGCCACAGUGAGAAGACGAGAAGGUUGUGCUCUCCAUCUGAGUGUGCUUAGGAUAACAGUUUGUAUUUCCAUGUGGAUAGUUUUGUCUAGUGCAUUUAAUUUUAAAAAUGGAGUGGUUAACGUUCCGUGGAAAACUGGAGUCGUGUUGGCAUGGUCAGACUAGAUAUUUUUAGGCUCUUCCAUGGACCUUUCUUACCUCCCAACAAGAACAACAACAAAGUAGUUUGUAGGCUUACUCCCCUAGUAAACUUAAAAUGUUACUCCGUGCAUCAAGUCGACUGAUGAACUGAGUUUGUGGGUCGUGCAGAGCUAGGUCGGUGAAAAGGAACCCUGAAAAAAAAAGGAAAAAACAAUAAUGCUCAAGAAUGCCGAUCGUUGACAGAUUUCAUUUUCAUGGAAUAUCUUUGCUAUAUGAACCCCCAGACCUACAACAUAUGUUGGCGCAAAACAAAUUUACCCAAAUGAGCUUCUUUCAACGCCUCAUCCCAACCAACAUGGUGCAGUAAGGUAUCGCAGGAAGAAAUUACAAGAAGCAAGUGAAGAUACAGGAGACAUAUAGCAAACUAGAAGAAAACCGACAGAGAACCAUACACCAUCAAUUACCCACUCUUCUCCCUUUUCACAACAGACUUUAUUUACUGGACCCUGUCGACCAUCUACAGUCCCCACCUGUUCUCCAUCUCAAGGUGACGAUACCCCAAUCAGCCGAUUUCCUUUCACUCAUAAAAUACCUGGAGAAGUCGCUGAUUGAAGAUCAUGCUUAGGAUCAGACAAGAGGAGGAAAGGAGACAAAAAUAAAAGUUAAGACAGAACAAGAAGAAUUAAAAGGAUGAAAUUCCCUGGCAACAGGAAGCAGACCGCUACACCGCCUCUGUAUAUGCUAGCCCCCCUCAUACAGCAAGCAACCACAGGCAGCCCCAGCAUGCCACCUUUAAUACCUGCAGCUCCUACCACGCCACCAGAGACUGCAGCGAUCCCGUCAGUACCCCCUCCUCAGAAAGCAACUUUAAAAAUGUUUUGGGAAUGGCGACAUCUUUGGGAUGAUCAUUCAGUCAUGCUGGAUCUGCCCAAGUUACCCAGAGAGACGCAAGUAAUUCAGAUGAUGUGUCUUGUCUUGGAGAUGUUAAGGAUCCUUGAGGACACCCUAGUAGUUAUGUCUGUCCCGGUAGAUCUUCAGCUUGUGAGGAAACCUGCAUGAAGGUGAUCAUCCUCAUGGGAGUCUAAGGAUGAAGAACUGACAGAAUCUCAGAGCCCUUGACACCAACGCCUGUUUUGAGGAUAACCUGUGUCACACCUUUGAGGCAUCUGGCCACCUUCUGCAAUUCAUGUUUUGCCCUCUCAAGCAGAAGAAACAGAGAAGAGUCCAGCAGCAGACAUCGCUUGCAGCAACUGUGCCCACAAGGGGCAUUGGACACAAGGCACAGAGGUGCCCCACCAGACACGUCCAGUGCCGCCACUGCAACUGACUGGGGGACAUUACAACAGAUGCUUCCAGGAGAAAACAAAGGAUGCCAAAUAAGGUACUACCCAGUGCCAAGCCUACACCACCCUCUAAGGGGGCAAGAACCCUGGGAGACCUCCUUCUGUCAAGACACUGCAGCCAAUCUCCAUGUCCCUCUGGUAUGGUGACAGCACAUCCAGGAUUCAGAUGUUGCCUGACACAGGUGCAGACAUCUGUUAAGCUGUUGGCAUCUCAACCUUUUUCCUGUACAUUCCUGGAAGCGUGCUACAACCCACACACACCAGUUACCCUGAUAUUCACCUCAGAUGGCUCUACGGUAACACCUCCUAUAGGAUCCUGCAUAACCACUUGCACCUUUGUGGAGAGAUUUUGUUUAGCCAGGUUUUGAAGAAAGCUCCACUCAAGCCAAUGGAGGGACCCCCAGUCUCUAUCUAUCUUAAGGAAGAUGCCAUACCUUUUGCCAUCAAUGCACCUCGCCAGAUACCAUAUGCUUUCUGGGAACAAGUCAAGGAAGAACUGGAGUUCAUUGAGCCCACCAGAGACAAACCUCCUCAGACUGUAGUCACCCUCUUGUUGUAGUACCUCAGGACAAAGGUGUUCAAAUCACUGCUGGCAAGUAAAGCACCCAGCCCACCCAUCACCCUCACUGUUAUCUAAUGUCUGCAGCACUGAUCUGAAGGUCUAGUCUUCACCAUGGGUUCUUCAAAUGCAACUUGCAGAGGAUGGUCAAAAGUUAACCACAUUCACAUUCUUAUGGGCAUAGUAGGUCCACAUUCACAUUUUUAUUGGCCACAGGAGACACUUACUGCCUUCGAAGAGACAAGCUCUACAAGGUAGUCUACGACAUCCUGCUGUACCACAAAGAUUUCCCCAACCAUCUAUGCUGAAUCCACGAGAUGUCAACAAGGUGCCUCAAGUAUUAUGCAUCACGCUUAACAAGGAGAAAUUUGUGAUUGCUACCACCAGCAUUACCUUCUGCAGGUUUCUGAUCUUCGUUCAUUUAGUAGUGAACCAACUGGCCACCUUUAGGCCUGAGAUAGCUAACACAGCUCAACCCCUUCAAAUCUGAAGCAUGCAUUUGUAUGGAUCGCAGAUCAGGACAAAGCACUAUGCCAAGUGAAAACAGCCACAACCCGUCCUUGUCUCCUUUGAUCCAGUUAUCUCCUAGAGACUGACACUUUUAAACUUGGAUAUGCCCUUCUACAGGACCACAGCAAUGGAAGGCUCCAUUUAGUGUAGCUAUCAUUUUCUCGUCCUUGCUAAGCUGCACUUCACCACAAUCUAGUUGAAGAUAUUAGCUAUGCCUAGAUGCAAACUAUACCUGAUGGGCCUCCAACAUUUAUGCUGCCAGACCAAUGCCCCCUCAUGCCAAUUCUCAACCAUUUCACUCUGGAUGUGGUCAAGGAUCCCAGUUUGCACCAAUUCACUCUGGAUGCAGUCAAGGAGCCCAGUUUGCACCAAUGUCUCAAUGAGAAAAUCUCGCCAUAUCUGUUCAGAGCUGUAUUGUGUGUUAGCAAGCAGCUCAGCAUACCCAACAUCCUGUAUUGUGCCUAUUUGCCAGGCAGGACGAAAUUGCCCUUACAUCAGGACCAUUACCGCCGCUCGUGCAGCAGCACAAGGCUUCAUCCCAGGAUGAUUAAAGAUCAUGUGCUACUGCUAGGUACAUCCGUCUUCAAGAUUGCAUGCUGGCAGAUUUCUUACUGAUCAUUACAUUUUUCUGGAAACUUUAGGACAGCUUCUUAGUUGACACUGAGCUUGUACAGUAAGGAUGGAAUGAGAUGAGGGUGUAGUUCCUCCCACGCUCUAUCAUGACUCCAUGACAGUCACCGAGGAACAGAAGCCACAAAGCAACAGGCAAGACAGACUGUUUUGGAAUCUACUGUCCAAGCUUGUGAGCCUCACUAGGUUUUACAACCUAGCCUCCAGCAACGUCCUCUUCAAAAUAAUGACCACCUAUUUGGCCCUUUGAGUCUGUGUCGGUGGACUUCAACGUCACAGGGAAGUAAUUCUUGAUGACGACCAAACAGGCUUGUGGUUGCCCCAUACUACAGUGACAUAACUUCCUCUGCAACAAUAAGGAUCUUCUGUAGACAUUUUAGGGAGGUUGGUGUCCCACUUCACCUCGAGACCAAUGGUGGACCUCGACAAUUGAAUUCAGGGAUUUCAUUGAGUACAUAAUCUCGUUGCUGCCAAGCAGUCCAUGGCCAACCUGUAAAGCCUUUUAUACUGUUGUCAGUGGCCCCCAGCAACAUUCACAGUGGAGACAUUGACCAUGGCCUCUUGGAAUCAUGGAACACUCCAAACUUCACAGGCUGCUCCCCUACACACAUCCUGUAUGACCACCAUCCACUUCACUCCUGUGUGCCUGCUCAUCUUCUGUCAUUCUCGCAGGAGUGACUAAAGGAAGCCCAGGACUGCGAUCGCUGUGCUGCUGCCAGAGGCAAACUUGUACAGAGGUCAUACAAUCAACAUGCACGUCCCCUACCCAGGCUAGAAGUUGGACAGUCAGUCAGCUUCAGACUUCUCACCAUUGGGACACAGUCGGGAUCAUCAUGAACUAUGGCAGGUUAAGGGACUAUGAAGUACAUCUCCUCAGUGGACGAGUAUACUGAAGAAACAGGGGUUGAUUCUCUACCUCACAUACCUGUGGACCUUCACAUGGACACACACGAGUCCUCUUUCACCUCAUGUAGAUUUCCCAGAUGAAGAACCUGCUUGAGAUGGGACAAGGAGGUUUUAGAUACUUUAUAGUUUAACAAUGUAUUUUAUUGCAGUGUAUUCUUGCCUCAGAGUAUAUUGAUAAACUGAAGACAUUCAAAUCAAUGCUUACCCUCUCCAAGUUUGGUAUAUUGUACCUU
Molecule: long non-coding RNA, 4373 nt
Organism: Macrobrachium nipponense
Lineage: Eukaryota; Metazoa; Arthropoda; Malacostraca; Decapoda; Palaemonidae
Exons: 5
Source: RefSeq, a predicted model, not a curated record